CCUACGGGAGGCAGCAGUGGGGAAUAUUGCACAAUGGGCGAAAGCCUGAUGCAGCGACGCCGCGUGAGGGAUGACGGCCUUCGGGUUGUAAACCUCUUUCAGCAGGGAAGAAGCGAGAGUGACGGUACCUGCAGAAGAAGCGCCGGCUAACUACGUGCCAGCAGCCGCGGUAAUACGUAGGGCGCAAGCGUUGUCCGGAAUUAUUGGGCGUAAAGAGCUCGUAGGCGGCUUGUCACGUCGGGUGUGAAAGCCCGGGGCUUAACCCCGGGUCUGCAUUCGAUACGGGCUAGCUAGAGUGUGGUAGGGGAGAUCGGAAUUCCUGGUGUAGCGGUGAAAUGCGCAGAUAUCAGGAGGAACACCGGUGGCGAAGGCGGAUCUCUGGGCCAUUACUGACGCUGAGGAGCGAAAGCGUGGGGAGCGAACAGGAUUAGAUACCCUGGUAGUCCACGCCGUAAACGGUGGGAACUAGGUGUUGGCGACAUUCCACGUCGUCGGUGCCGCNGCUACGACAUACGUCCCGUCCGUGGGAGGUACGGCCGCGAGACGUAAACGUACGAAGUAAGUAGUACGGCGUUGUAGACGUUGCCGACGGCGACGACGAGGGAGAGG
RNAcentral lists this ribosomal RNA (609 nucleotides) under uncultured bacterium. Its description in RNAcentral is "bacterial SSU rRNA". The stretch from base 1 to 522 matches the Rfam family "Bacterial small subunit ribosomal RNA", at positions 338 to 873 of the family's 1533-position model. The record is from RNAcentral.